CGGGGGAUUAGGGUUCGAUUCCGGAGAGGGAGCCUGAGAAACGGCUACCACAUCUAAGGAAGGCAGCAGGCGCGCAAAUUACCCAAUUCUAACAGCAUAAGAGAGGUAGUGACAAGAAAUAACAAUACAAGGCAGUUAAAAUGCUUUGUAAUUGGAAUGAUAGAAAUUUAAACACUUUUUAAAGUAUCAAUUGGAGGGCAAGUCUGGUGCCAGCAGCCGCGGUAAUUCCAGCUCCAAUAGCGUAUAUUAAAAUUGUUGCAGUUAAAAAGCUCGUAGUUGAAUUUCUGUUAAAAAUAACCGGUCUGCUUUUAACAAAAGUGGUAUCUUGGUGUGUUUUUAGCAAUAAUGUCCUUUGAAAUGUGUUUUACUUUGUUGUAAAAAACAAUAUUCAGGAUUUUUACUUUGAGAAAAUUAGAGUGUUUCUAGCAAGCUAAUGUUUUGAAUACUGCAGCAUGGAAUAAUAAAAUAGAAUUUUAGUUCUACAUUGUUGGUUUUAAGAGCUGAAUUAAUGAUUGAUAGGGACAGUUGGGGGCAUUUGUAUUUAACUGUCAGAGGUGAAAU
This 561-nucleotide ribosomal RNA is filed under the name Hepatozoon sp. Its description in RNAcentral is "SSU rRNA". It matches the Rfam family "Eukaryotic small subunit ribosomal RNA", at positions 363 to 917 of the family's 1831-position model. The record is from RNAcentral. Lineage: Eukaryota; Apicomplexa; Hepatozoidae.